RNAcentral lists this transfer RNA (69 nucleotides) under Athetis thoracica. Its description in RNAcentral is "tRNA-Ala". The record is from RNAcentral. Lineage: Eukaryota; Metazoa; Arthropoda; Insecta; Lepidoptera; Noctuidae.
AGGAUUAUAGUUUAAUUAAAACAUUUGAUUUGCAUUCAAAAAAUAUUAAUAAAUUAUUAAUUUAUCUUA